This 253-nucleotide ribosomal RNA is filed under the name uncultured bacterium. RNAcentral's name for it is "partial 16S ribosomal RNA". It matches the Rfam family "Bacterial small subunit ribosomal RNA", at positions 524 to 776 of the family's 1533-position model. The record is from RNAcentral.
UACGGAGGAUCCAAGCGUUAUCCGGAUUUAUUGGGUUUAAAGGGUGCGUAGGCGGCCUAUUAAGUCAGGGGUGAAAGACGGUAGCUUAACUAUCGCAGUGCCCUUGAUACUGAUGGGCUUGAAUGUACUUGAGGUAGGCGGAAUGUGACAAGUAGCGGUGAAAUGCAUAGAUAUGUCACAGAACACCAAUUGCGAAGGCAGCUUACUAAAGUAUGAUUGACGCUGAGGCACGAAAGCGCGGGGAUCAAACAGG